Molecule: ribosomal RNA, 464 nt
Filed under: uncultured Klebsiella sp.
Lineage: Bacteria; Pseudomonadati; Pseudomonadota; Gammaproteobacteria; Enterobacterales; Enterobacteriaceae
Description: bacterial SSU rRNA
Rfam family: Bacterial small subunit ribosomal RNA
Source: RNAcentral
CUACGGGGGGCAGCAGUGGGGAAUAUUGCACAAUGGGCGCAAGCCUGAUGCAGCCAUGCCGCGUGUGUGAAGAAGGCCUUCGGGUUGUAAAGCACUUUCAGCGGGGAGGAAGGCGUUAAGGUUAAUAACCUUGGCGAUUGACGUUACCCGCAGAAGAAGCACCGGCUAACUCCGUGCCAGCAGCCGCGGUAAUACGGAGGGUGCAAGCGUUAAUCGGAAUUACUGGGCGUAAAGUGCACGCAGGCGGUCUGUCAAGUCGGAUGUGAAAUCCCCGGGCUCAACCUGGGAACUGCAUUCGAAACUGGCAGGAUAGAGUCUUGUAGAGGGGGGUAGAAUUCCAGGUGUAGCGGUGAAAUGCGUAGAGAUCUGGAGGAAUACCGGUGGCGAAGGCGGCCCCCUGGACAAAGACUGACGCUCAGGUGCGAAAGCGUGGGGAGCAAACAGGAUUAGAUACCCCGGUAGUC